CUACGGGUUGCUGCAGUGGGGAAUAUUGCACAAUGGGCGCAAGCCUGAUGCAGCCAUGCCGCGUGUAUGAAGAAGGCCUUCGGGUUGUAAAGUACUUUCAGCGGGGAGGAAGGGAGUAAAGUUAAUACCUUUGCUCAUUGACGUUACCCGCAGAAGAAGCACCGGCUAACUCCGUGCCAGCAGCCGCGGUAAUACAGAGGGUGCAAGCGUUGAUCGGAAUUACUGGGCGUAAAGCGCACGCAGGCGGUUUGUUAAGUCAGAUGUGAAAUCCCCGGGCUCAACCUGGGAACUGCAUCUGAUACUGGCAAGCUUGAGUCUCGUAGAGGGGGGUAGAAUUCCAGGUGUAGCGGUGAAAUGCGUAGAGAUCUGGAGGAAUACCGGUGGCGAAGGCGGCCCCCUGGACGAAGACUGACGCUCAGGUGCGAAAGCGUGGGGAGCAAACAGGAUUAGAUACCCUCGUAGUC
This 464-nucleotide ribosomal RNA is filed under the name uncultured bacterium. RNAcentral's name for it is "partial 16S ribosomal RNA". It matches the Rfam family "Bacterial small subunit ribosomal RNA", at positions 339 to 795 of the family's 1533-position model. The record is from RNAcentral.